RNAcentral lists this transfer RNA (74 nucleotides) under Chloroflexota bacterium. Its description in RNAcentral is "Chloroflexi bacterium tRNA-Val". It matches the Rfam family "tRNA". From Rfam's summary of the family: Transfer RNA (tRNA) molecules are approximately 80 nucleotides in length. Their secondary structure includes four short double-helical elements and three loops (D, anti-codon, and T loops). The record is from RNAcentral. Lineage: Bacteria; Bacillati; Chloroflexota.
GGGCUGGUAGCUCAGCUGGUCAGAGCACUUGCUUGACAUGCAAGAGGUCAGAGGUUCGAGCCCUCUUCAGCCCA